Fukomys damarensis (Damara mole-rat) is the source of this 3255-nucleotide long non-coding RNA. RefSeq lists it as uncharacterized. The record is from RefSeq and is a predicted model, not a curated record. NCBI's taxonomy places the organism in Eukaryota, Metazoa, Chordata, Mammalia, Rodentia, Bathyergidae. The transcript has 6 exons.
CUUCUUUCGUUAUAAGAUAAAUUCUUCAGUAGACAACCUCUCCCACUAAUUGUGUAUUAGCAGUGUAUUUUAUCUUGAGAGCUGACGCAUUGGGCUUUCAACGUGGUGUGGAAAGCAGCCUGUUACAGUGCUGAAUUCAUAAAAAGGCCUUCAUGGUUUGUGAAAGAAUAUCUGUGUGCUUAGACAGGAAACUUUUUGAUCCGCAGAAAGCCAGAAGACAUCUAGGAUGUCUUUAAAGAUUGUAUACAGAGAAAAUUUUAUUCACCUAUAAAGGCAUUUGAACUGGGCAAACAGGACGACAGCAGCAGUGAGUAUGAGAUCAUUGCAGCCCUGUAGCAAACUGGCAUCCUGCCUUUUCACCACUUUGGUUCGGGAGACAAACGUGUACAAUCCUCAUUUUUAAAGUCAGCACAGCCUGGAAGGAUUCCUGGUCUCUCCCACCUUCUACCAUUCUGCUGCCGGUGACGGCAAGGAUUGGUGCAGUUUCUGUGCAGUGCUUUGUGCCUGGAAUACCGAGAAGGAAGAAAAAGAAGAUAAGCCCUCUGGUUCUUCUUUUUAAAGAAAUAACAGGAUCCCUGAAGAAAAAAAAAUCCGAGUUUGUUUUACUACAUGCAAGAGUUCUGAAAAAGAGAGAGAAAGAGAGACGCUCCUGCUCAAAAACAAAAACAAAACAAAACAAAAAUCCAAUCCAAAAAACAAACAAACAAACAAAAAGCAAACAUUGGCUUACAUAACUGCAGAGACAUCGGGCUUUCUAAAGCAGCUUUUUAAGGCAACAUAAUCAAAUGAGCCUUCUUUAUUUUUACUAUUUCAAAAAAUAUGGCAUGAUUAGCAAUACAUUGCACUUGGUGAAAUCGCACCUUUCAUAACAGGGAAAAACUUAAAAUGGAUAUGAGAAGUGAAGAAAGUGAUCAUAGGAGAAAAAUCAUCUCAGGUGUCUGAGGAUUUGUGAGCAUCAAGUGAAUGUUCUGUGGAAUCAUCUUUCCUUGCCUUUGAAUUACCUUUCCCUAGGCCAUGAUCAUCAUCUAUAUUUUAUCUCUCCAAAUUGGGUUGUUUUCUCAGCACAAUGAAAUUACACAAGGGCAUAGAAAUACAAUUUGAAGACAUAGGUUAGAUUUCUGAAGCUCUCUCCAUGAAAUUGAGGUAAGACCAAGAAAUUGACCUCAUCCAGUCUCAUUCUUGUAUAAGCUAAAUCCAAAGUCAAGCAUUGUGCAUAUACCAAACACAUCAUUUCUGUAAUCAUUCAUGGAAAUCAUUUUCUAUAAAGUACCAGAUAGUAAAUACCUUUGGCUUUGCUAGUCAUACAGUUUGUGUCACCACUUCUCAGCACUUGUGUUCAGGUGUGAAGUCAGCCAGACACAUCACAUAAACAAAUGGGUGUGGCUAUACCCCAACAAAGCCUUACUUUUAAAAAAAAGAUGUUCGGCAGAUUAAAUUCACCUGCCGUGCCUUGGUUUGCUAAUCCCAGAUCCUCUCUCCGUUACUGGAAGAUACCCAAAGAACCAGAGUUCUUUCACCUUGUCCUUUCAAAACGUUAAAUCAGUUGGAGCAGAGAGAAUAAAACAUACGAACAAAACAUGAGUGGCAUGAGAGGAUGAUUUAUUUCUAUUCCCCUUAUAUCCUUAAAGUUAUUCCUUAAUUUUGAACUUUUUGCUGCUGUAACUUUUGGACCUGGUCAGAAGAUAUUCUCAAUGACAAAAUUCUUCCUAAAGAAUGAAUGAGGGAUCCACUGAGUAGUUUGACAAGUGUUUUAAUGGAUGGCUCUCUGGGGUGGCAUUUACUAAUUCUGUAGUGCAAAUUUACCAUGGCCAUUUUAAACUGCCAAUAUGAUGUCACUUAACAUUGAGUUAGGAAAAGAUAGGAUCUUGAAUUAGCAUGAGCUGGCUCCAGUUCAGUCCCUGAUAUACAUUUAAAGUUUCCAAUAAUUCUGCUCGCUGCCAUUGCCAAUUCUGUAGAAAACAGUGGUGGGCUUAAUCAGAGCAACUGGCUAGCUGGUCUUCUGCAAUGCCAAGUACAUAAAGUAUAUAAAUGGAAUGCUAUUUAUAAAGCUCUCAGCUCAGUGUUUGACUAAAAUGCAUAUGCAACAAAUAAUACUAUUAUCUUCCUAAAUUAUUAUAAGCAUUAAAAUUAACUGUUUAGCUAUAGACUUAAUCAAAUUUUAAUGCCUUUGUGUUUUUAAGCCUCUUAACCUUGAAGCAGCCAAGUUAAAGGAAUUUUAUAUACCAUUCGCAGCUCGCCCCACUCAAGGUUAAUAUAACAACAAAAUACUCCAACCAGAAUAAAAGAAGUCUCCACUUGACUGUAGCUCUUCAUAACACUUCACGAGGGUCAAGCUGUGUUAUUUUCCCUCAAUGUUAAACAGACUGCAUCUUAGGAACAUAGUUCAAUUAUUGACUGAAUAGUGGCUCCACAUUUACUAUAAUCCAGACAGAUACACUCCAACGAGUUCAUGACCAGGAAUGGGCCAAAGGAAGGGCAAAGGUUUCAGUCAAGUCUAGAGGCAAGCACUUCGAUCGAAUGAGUAACAUGGAUGAUUCAUAUUAUGUCAGCGCAUAGACUAUAGUUCCAGGCCAGUCGUACAAAACUGGCAAGACAAUAAGCAAAAUAUUGACAGUGGUUUGAGUAAUGAAAUUCCAAACUGGACAUUGACUUGAAAAAAAUAAUGAAAUAAUACAUAUGGAUCCUAACAGAAGUUUAUACACAGUUUAGUUCUAAACAGUCUUUGGGUAAAGAGGCUAAUCUAAGAUGUAUUUAAUACUAUUUAUGUGAUUUCUAAACUGUUAUCUUCUAAUCUCCUCCAACCAACACCUUUAAUGUGUAAAGUUUUCUACACAUCUAUAAAAGGUAUGACUAAGGGUUUGUAGGGAAAAUAAAAUAAGACAGUGAGUGUCUCUACCUUCUAUCUAAUAUUAAUCUUUCCCUUAAUUGGCACAUAAUUCAAAUGUUUUGUUAUGGUUAUGCUGCUCUGUCUCUAGAGAGCCCUCUGUUCUAAUAGACACAGUGUAUUAGAGAAGCAGCUCAACCAAACCCUCUACAGAAUAUUUUCCUCUUCCCAUAUAUUACUGAGCAGCUUGAUUUUCUCUGUUUCUGAGACUUUGCUACUUUACUUUUGGUUUUAUGCUCAUACUGAUAUUAGUAUUCAUUUAAAAAGCUUUUACUAGGGAAAUGUGUACAUAAUAGACAUAACUAGAUCUAUUUCUUAGAGAAUAACAAUAAAAAUCUAUUACAAAUGUAGGAUAUAUGUAAAUAUAGAAA